RNAcentral lists this ribosomal RNA (460 nucleotides) under uncultured bacterium. RNAcentral describes it as "partial 16S ribosomal RNA". It matches the Rfam family "Bacterial small subunit ribosomal RNA", at positions 338 to 795 of the family's 1533-position model. The record is from RNAcentral.
CCUACGGGCGUCAGCAGUGAGGAAUAUUGGUCAAUGGACGCAAGCCUGAACCAGCCAUGCCGCGUGCAGGAAGACGGCUCUAUGAGUUGUAAACUGCUUUUGUACGAGGGUAAACGCAGAUACGCGUAUCUGUCUGACAGUAUCGUACGAAUCAGGCACGGCUAACUACGUGCCAGCAGCCGCGGUAAUACGUAGGGAGCAAGCGUUGUCCGGAUUUACUGGGUGUAAAGGGUGCGUAGGCGGUCUUGCAAGUCAGACGUGAAAACCACGGGCUCAACCUGUGGACUGCGUUUGAAACUGUGGGGCUUGAGUGAAGGAGAGGUAGGCGGAAUGCGUGGUGUAGCGGUGAAAUGCAUAGAUAUCGCGCAGAACUCCGAUUGCGAAGGCAGCAUGCCGGCUCCACACUGACGCUGAGGCACGAAAGCGUGGGUAUCGAACAGGAUUAGAUACCCGAGUAGUC